AUGGCCGUAAACACCGGUCCCUUGUAGCUGAUGCACCAUGUUUGCAGGUAAUAGACUAAGGCCGAGCUCACAACUCCCUGUUUUGCAAUAGUAAGAAGCGUAUGAAAACAAAUGGAUGAACAAUAUGUUACUGGCUAAAUCUGAUGACUUAUGUUGUUACGUUGGCAAAAGCAGUUCCCACAUUCAAACAACAAUCGAAGUACUCAGAUGGUUCAGAUCGAAAUAUGAAUAAAAGACAAACAGGUAGAAAAGAAAACACUCACACUGUAGACAAUGGUUAAAAGUUGCACAUUUGUAUCAAUUCUCCAUGAAGCUUGAUCUCUUGCGAAAAACAUAGCAACAAUGGAAGAUUGCAAUGAUGCGAAAAAGCAUAUCAGGGUGGUCAGUGACAAUGGAGCAGGGUAGACUCUGGUGACCACAGCCUAUGAGCCAAAUAAACAACAAGGACAUGUUGAACACACAACUUAAUUCACUGUAUAGAGAUGUAAUUUGAAAUCAAGGAUUUAAUCACCUGCAGAAUCAGCCAUGAACACCAUACUAUCUGACUGAUAAGAAUAAGAGCAGAACCCUUGAUCCAGUUUUCGCUACCAUGCUUCAACUCAGUGCUAUAUAUAGUGAGCAGUGGCCUCUCAACAAGACCCUUGAAAAGGUACCCUUUCCAGAAAGUGAAAAUUAGAGAACCACAGAUGCAAAGAAGUGUGCCAACUACCUUUGCUUGACCUCUGACACUUUUUAUAUUCAAAUUCUCCAUCCUGAAAAGAGCAAGUAGAUGAUCACCCGCUUAGGCAUAAAAUUUUAUUUGGACUAUACUUUCAGAGUUUGUCUACGGCACAUCAAUGUAUCAACACCAAGUAGACCAGCUCCGUGAUGUAGCAGCUAGACCGACUCCAUGCAUGUAGCGGUGGAUUAGUGCCGCCUGGUCAGCGGCCUUGAGCUAGUCUACAAGUGCAUGGAGCUGAUCUAGUGUUGAUGUAUGGAUACAUUAUUGCACCGUAGACUCUCCCAUACUGCAUAUGUUUGUGAUACACUUUAAACCUGCAUGGCUAUCUCUGUAUGUUGUUUUGAACGUACAUAAGCACAAAAAGAACCAGAGAAAGGUGGAUUUACACGAUGUGUGUAGAGACUAUACCGAAGUAGAACUGCCAUUAGAAACGUCAAAGUUGGGACUAUGUUACUCAAGGCGCAGGCAACUGUGGGGGAGGUGUAUGCUAAACCAGUGUAGUACACAUUGAGAUGGAUAGUAGUCCCAAAUAAUGUGAGCACAAAAACUUUUGCUGCUAUUGAAAAUGUGAGUGAAGGUCUUUGCUUCCUGGUUUGCCAAUUCAUUCUAGUAUUAAUUUUCUCUGUUCAUAAAUAAACAACAAUAUGAGUCUAAUAAGAUGCAAGAAUAUACAGUUUACCUUUCAAGAACAUAAGCAAAUGGUGCUAGCAAAAACAUGGCCAUAACAUGCCUAUAAACCACAAAGACAACUGGCUUGAGACCUUCCUCAAGAGAAAGUUUAACGAGGACGCUUGAACCACCAUAGGCUAUCUGAACCAGUAUCAUUACCAAGUAGUACCUGCAUCCCUCCAUGUUUAUACGAAUUGUUCUAGUUCAAUCUGUUAUAACAUUACUAACAAGUUUCAAUCAGUAGGUUUUUAUAGCAGUGCAGGAUCAACCAGAACCACACCUUCUGAGUACCACUCUUUUUAGUUAGAAAUAAAGUUAAAAAACAAUUAACUAAAUAGCUAGUGGAAUUCACAUGCAUCAAUUAUGCUUACGAAGGAUGGCAACUCACCUUAAAAUCAAAAGGGAUGACUGAAACAGAAUAGAGAAACACUUGGAUUGUAGAACUCUUUUAGAUUAAAUUUUGGGGAAUUUUCCUUUUAGUGCACAUUGAGGUGUUGUCCAGAUUUUGGUACAGAUGCACUUCAAAGUCACGUCAUCAUUUUCAUUCACAAUGAGGAUACUGAUUAGGAGGUGAAUUCGAUUGUCGGACUUUAGACUGUUGUUUUGUUAGGUUCAGGUUUUGGUAUGUGAUAUCUGCACUAACAGCAAGUGAACUUCAUUUUGGAUUUUGAUAUAGCUGCUUUAUAUGUAGGUUCUGGUCUGCAUGCCCUCAAUAUAUAUUAGCAAGUUCAUCAGUUAGGUAUGAAUUGAAAUUCCUUCUUCUAUACAUACAUAUAUCGUAUACAUAUAUGACAUAUGGUACAUCAGCUAGUACUGUGAACAAGGUUUUCCCUGAAUCUCUGUAAUAUCAGGAGCUCAAGAAUUUUAGAGAUUCAAGCUAGUGAUGAUGUUAGUACGUAUUAUGUAGACGCAUCCAAGCUUCUUUUGCUGUGCAUGAUGGGAUCAGACGUAUGGAUGCUUACUGUUAUAUAAAGCUAAAUAUUGCUUUGUAUAGACUUUUGGCACUCACUACUUAAGCCAUGAUAAACUAAUUAGUGGAUACGGUAAUCCCCGGAUGAAAAAUAUGUGAUUUCCACUCUAUUCCACUACCACAAAAGAAGGUUGCUUAUAUCAUUCUGCCACCUCAAGCUGAACAUAAACCGGCUUAAUAGUUAGUGAGGUGUGACUAUGGUUUUAAAUUUUAAUAAACUCUAAUUGGAUAAGAACUAUGUAGCUGCUUAUGGAUAAUGAGUAAUGCCCACUUUUGUUGUCGUGAAAGAAAAAGAUUGAAGAAAAACUAGUAACCAAUAAGCUGAUGCGAUAUGAAAUCUCUAAUUCGAUAGAAUCAGCAUAUUCAAGAUGGAUACCAGUGUUGCAUAAUCAAAAGCCAUUUGCUAAAAGAACCACAACUCCUUAUGAUUCAAACAUACGAACCAAAAGAUGGCCUAAUUCUGAUACAUUCUGAAAGCAUGAAUCAGGUCUCUCCAGCUAUGAUGGAAAAGUGGUUCCAAUUCUAUACGAAAAUGAAGCAACUUAAAGGCUUAUGAAAAGCCGUGUGAAAUACCAGUUUGUGAUUAACAUUGAAGCUUUUAUGAAAUAAUACUGUCGGAGAGAGCAGAAUUUCUCUUCUUCACGUGUGUUAUCAAGUUUCAAAGUUCAUACGGAGUGCUUAGGAUGGUGAGAAUUUUAAUUUGGAUUUGAUCAACAACAUGAUUUGUAUAACAGAUAUGUGAAUAAACAUGAAUUUCAUAGAUGCCGGGUUUUGUGAAUCAUGCUAAAUCAAAACUUUCUUUUACAUAAAAGUGAUAAAACUGUUCUUAUGACUGUUCUUUCUCUAGUUUCAGGCUUCAUCACUAUAUCGGCCAUUCACGGAUAUGCCACCAUUAGGCACUCCUUUUCCAUUCAGGUUGAGAUCAGCAAUAGCAUUAUCUUUGUUCUUUCCCCAUAGCACACAGUAAAGGCCAACGAUGAUGAGAAAUGCUCCAAUCAAGCUGAAAAUAAUUAUUGUUUUACAUUAUUUAUGACAAGCAGAAAGUAAUAUAUCAAGCUUACAAACAAGUGAAACAACUCUGAAGUAGUAUCAAGAUGGAACAAGAAGAAAGUAAUUUACCUGCCUAAGUGGAGUCUCUCUGCGAAAGCAAUUGCCGAGAAGAUUGCCACUAUAAUAACUUGUAGGGGACUAAACAUAGCUGCGAAAACUGGUCCCUUAUGUCUGAUGCACCAUGUUUGCAGGUAAUAGACUAAUGCCGAAACCACAACUCCCUAAUACAAAAGGAUCAGAUGAACAUAAAUUAAGGAAAUACAUAGUAGUGACAAAAUUGAGCCUCACUUCUCUUACUGUUUGAUUGAAACUGGAAUCCCACAUAACGAAUCCAACUACUGAAAGGUUGAGAUCCACAUUUAAGCAUUCCAUACAUAAGAUAAACAUAUACAGAAGAGAACACACUCACAC
This 3821-nucleotide long non-coding RNA is filed under the name Fragaria vesca (wild strawberry). RNAcentral describes it as "long non-coding RNA (FVES_LNC005375)". Lineage: Eukaryota; Viridiplantae; Streptophyta; Magnoliopsida; Rosales; Rosaceae. The record is from RNAcentral.